RNAcentral lists this ribosomal RNA (387 nucleotides) under uncultured bacterium. Its description in RNAcentral is "bacterial SSU rRNA". It matches the Rfam family "Bacterial small subunit ribosomal RNA", at positions 28 to 418 of the family's 1533-position model. The record is from RNAcentral.
GACGAACGCUGGCGGCGUGCUUAACACAUGCAAGUCGAACGGUGAACCAGAGCUUGCUCUGGGGAUCAGUGGCGAACGGGUGAGUAACACGUGGGCAACCUGCCCAGACUCUGGGAUAACCUCGGGAAACCGAUGCUAAUACCGGAUACGACCACUUCGGACAUCCGACGGUGGUGGAAAGUUUUCGGUCUGGGAUGGGCCGCGGCCUAUCAGCUAGUUGGUGGGGUAAUGGCCUACCAAGGCGACGACGGGUAGCCGGCCUGAGAGGGCGACCGGCCACACUGGAACUGAGACACGGUCCAGACUCCUACGGGAGGCAGCAGUGGGGAAUAUUGCACAAUGGGCGAAAGCCUGAUGCAGCGACGCCGCGUGAGGGACGACGGCCUU